CUCUCUCUGUUGUACAUAGAUACAAUACAGAAGCACUUGCACUUUGCGCAAGAAGAGUCAUAUUUCAGGCUUGUGUGUGAAUCUAAUAUCCACAUCCAAUGACAAAAGCACCAAAACCCUUCUUUCUCAUUGGAUGCUGUUAGAUUCACGCACAAACUCGUAAUCUGUCUUUUCAUUUUUUUUCCCUGUACAAAGCUAUAACUGUAUUCAGUUACAACAAGGCCCAGUAAAAACCACCUGAAGAUGCUCUGUUCCGGUUGAGGUUAACCUUCCCAUUCCGUUUAAGGUUUGAAUUCACAUCAAGGCCAUAAGAAUGGUAGAAGAGCUCUGGAGGCUGAGCCGGAUAAUUGCUUGGAAACUGUAUGUCAAAGAAGAACAGACAUGGGAAUAAGAGGAACCUUUAGGACCUACUAUCACGGCUCUCAUUAGAUCCUGCCUUGACUUGUAAGCUCUAAUGUAAAUUGAAUCAGGAAGAUUUGCCUCCAAUGUUUUCCAUUCUUUGUUGAUGAAAAUGUUUUCAUCUGGGUAGAACUGAUCAUGGAAGAACUGAUGAUCAGGAGGGGAUUUGGAAAUAUUGCAAAGUUGUUGAACUUCUAAAACAUCAUCUCAACCUUGUCUAUUUCUUCUGCAAUAUCUCCAUAUUGCCUUGUUGAUUUAAAUUAUUGGUCUUC
Long non-coding RNA from Quercus lobata, 671 nucleotides. RefSeq lists it as uncharacterized. Lineage: Eukaryota; Viridiplantae; Streptophyta; Magnoliopsida; Fagales; Fagaceae. The transcript is spliced from 2 exons. The record is from RefSeq and is a predicted model, not a curated record.